This 493-nucleotide ribosomal RNA is filed under the name Echinaster arcystasus. RNAcentral describes it as "partial 16S ribosomal RNA". It matches the Rfam family "Bacterial large subunit ribosomal RNA", at positions 1856 to 2525 of the family's 2925-position model. Lineage: Eukaryota; Metazoa; Echinodermata; Asteroidea; Spinulosida; Echinasteridae. The record is from RNAcentral.
UGCCUGCCCGGUGACUUUAAAAGUUAAACGGCCGCGGUAUUUUUGACUGUGCGAAGGUAGCGUAAUCAUUUGCUCUUUAAUUGGGGGCUGGAAUGAACGGCAAGACAGAAGCUAGGCUGUCUCUUCCUUAAUCUCUUGAAUCUAAUAUUGCUGUGAAGAAGCGGUAAUAUUGUCGUAAGACGAGAAGACCCUGUUGAGCUUCAUAUGAGGACUAGUUUUAUGCGGAUAAAGGUUUUGGGGAAUAAUGUGAUUUAUCUAAAGAGGUAGAGAGGAAUGGUUAUUUUUAAAAGUGGUGUGUAAAAUUUGUUAAUGUUUGGUUGGGGCAACCGCGGAGGAUAAGAAUCCUCCGUUAAGUGGAAGAGGAAAAGUUACUGUUUUGUCAUAAAUCGGGUUUGCUUUAGGAUCCAUCAAUGGUGAUUGAAGGAAUUAGUUACCACAGGGAUAACAGCGUUAUUUCUUUGGAGAGUUCAUAUUGAUAAGGAAGUUUGCGACC